AGCAGCCGCGGUAAUUCCAGCUCCAAUAGCGUAUAUUAAAGUUGUUGCAGUUAAAAAGCUCGUAGUUGAAUUUCGGGAGCAGUAGGCUGGUCGUGCCACAGGUAUGUACUGGUCUCACUGAUUCCUCCUUCCUGAAGAACCGUAAUGCCAUUAAUUUGGUGUUGCGGGGAAACAGGACUGUUACUUUGAAAAAAUUAGAGUGUUUAAAGCAGGCUAACGCUUGAAUACAUUAGCAUGGAAUAAUGAAAUAGGACGAUCGAUCCUAUUUUGUUGGUUUCUAGGAUUGACGUAAUGAUUAAUAGGGAUAGUUGGGGGCAUUAGUACUCAAUUGUCAGAGGUGAAAUUCUUGGAUUUAUUGAAGACUAACUACUGCGAAAGCAUUUGCCAAGGAUGUUUUCAUUAAUCAAGAACGAAAGUUAGGGGAUCGAAGACGAUCAGAUACCGUCGUAG
RNAcentral lists this ribosomal RNA (450 nucleotides) under uncultured Glomeromycotina. RNAcentral describes it as "SSU rRNA". It matches the Rfam family "Eukaryotic small subunit ribosomal RNA", at positions 569 to 1023 of the family's 1831-position model. The record is from RNAcentral. Lineage: Eukaryota; Fungi; Glomeromycota.